AUUCAACUACGAGACUGUUGGAAGUAUUAAAGAGGUAACUGCUCCUUGCCAGCUUUCUGCAGCUAUAGUCAUUUACUUAUUUUGUGUGUAUUCAUUUUCUGCUUGAAGUAUUGAUCGAGUUUUCUUUUGGUUAUUGAUUUGGGCUGCAGAUCACUGAUAUCAUGGAACAUAAUAUGGAUCGUGAAACAUUCUCGGUUGUUGUAAUGAACAACGGUGUUCCAAAAAGGCGUUUUAUAACUCCAGAGGCAGUCAGUGAAAAAAAUGUAAAAUAGUUUAGUUUAGCAACACAGUCACAGCACAAUGAUGGCAGACAGUUACUUCAGGGUGUUUUCUUUUAGAAUGUUCGUUGUUCCUCUUGUAAUUGUAUGGUAACAAUUGACGUGUUUUGAAUGUUUGGAAAUUGAGUUUUGAGGUGUCUGAAAUAUUUUUGUUUU
RNAcentral lists this long non-coding RNA (434 nucleotides) under Coffea arabica (coffee). RNAcentral describes it as "long non-coding RNA (CARA_LNC007392)". Lineage: Eukaryota; Viridiplantae; Streptophyta; Magnoliopsida; Gentianales; Rubiaceae. The record is from RNAcentral.